CAGCGCCACGGGAAUACGAAGGGUGCAAGCGUUACUCGGAAUUACUGGGCGUAAAGCGUGCGUAGGUGGUGGUUUAAGUCCGUUGUGAAAGCCCUGGGCUCAACCUGGGAAUUGCAGUGGAUACUGGGUCACUAGAGUGUGGUAGAGGAUAGUGGAAUUUCCGGUGUAGCAGUGAAAUGCGUAGAGAUCGGAAGGAACAUCUGUGGCGAAGGCGACUAUCUGGGCCAACACUGACACUGAGGCACGAAAGCGUGGGGAGCAAACAGGAUUAGAUACCCCUGUAGUCCCUGUCUCUUAUACA
Molecule: ribosomal RNA, 301 nt
Filed under: uncultured bacterium
Lineage: Bacteria
Description: partial 16S ribosomal RNA
Rfam family: Bacterial small subunit ribosomal RNA
Source: RNAcentral